Molecule: ribosomal RNA, 446 nt
Filed under: uncultured bacterium
Lineage: Bacteria
Description: partial 16S ribosomal RNA
Rfam family: Bacterial small subunit ribosomal RNA
Source: RNAcentral
CCUACGGGUGGCAGCAGUCGAGAAUCAUUCACAAUGGGGGAAACCCUGAUGGUGCGACGCCGCGUGGGGGAAUGAAGGUCUUCGGAUUGUAAACCCCUGUCAUGUGGGAGCAAAUUAAAAAGAUAGUACCCCAAGUGGAAGAGACGGCUAACUCUGUGCCAGCAGCCGCGGUAAUACAGAGGUCUCAAGCGUUGUUCGGAAUAACUGGGCGUAAAGCGUGCGUAGGCUGUUUCGUAAGUCGUGUGUGAAAGGCGCGGGCUCAACCCGCGGACGGCACAUGAUACUGCGAGACUAGAGUAAUGGAGGGGGAACCGGAAUUCUCGGUGUAGCAGUGAAAUGCGUAGAUAUCGAGAGGAACACUCGUGGCGAAGGCGGGUUCCUGGACAUUAACUGACGCUGAGGCACGAAGGCCAGGGGAGCGAAAGGGAUUAGAUACCCGUGUAGUC